GAGGGUAUAGCUCAAGUGGUAGAGCACAUGCUUAGUAUGCAGGAGGUCCUGGGUUCAAUCCCUGGUACCUCCA
Molecule: transfer RNA, 73 nt
Filed under: Camelus dromedarius (Arabian camel)
Lineage: Eukaryota; Metazoa; Chordata; Mammalia; Artiodactyla; Camelidae
Also listed under: 1 other name
Rfam family: tRNA
About the family: Transfer RNA (tRNA) molecules are approximately 80 nucleotides in length. Their secondary structure includes four short double-helical elements and three loops (D, anti-codon, and T loops). Further hydrogen bonds mediate the characteristic L-shaped molecular structure. tRNAs have two regions of fundamental functional importance: the anti-codon, which is responsible for specific mRNA codon recognition, and the 3' end, to which the tRNAs corresponding amino acid is attached (by aminoacyl-tRNA synthetases). tRNAs cope with the degeneracy of the genetic code in two manners: having more than one tRNA (with a specific anti-codon) for a particular amino acid; and 'wobble' base-pairing, i.e. permitting non-standard base-pairing at the 3rd anti-codon position.
Source: Rfam by way of RNAcentral